Molecule: ribosomal RNA, 253 nt
Filed under: uncultured bacterium
Lineage: Bacteria
Description: partial 16S ribosomal RNA
Rfam family: Archaeal small subunit ribosomal RNA
Source: RNAcentral
UACCAGCACCCCGAGUGGUCGGGACGUUUAUUGGGCCUAAAGCAUCCGUAGCCGGUUCUACAAGUCUUCCGUUAAAUCCAACUGCUUAACAGAUGGGCUGCGGAGGAUACUAUAGAGCUAGGAGGCGGGAGAGGCAAGCGGUACUUAGUGGGUAGGGGUAAAAUCCGUUGAUCCAUUGAAGACCACCAGUGGCGAAGGCAGCUUGCCAGAACGCACUCGACGGUGAGGGAUGAAAGCUGGGGGAGCAAACCGG